CUAAAAUCACUAUGUAUAACUAUUUGAAUUUAUUUAAAAGACGAAUCACAUCAAAGAUCCAAAUGAAAGUUUCUCAUCAUGUUUGUAUGCUGUAAAUCAGGUGUAAAGAAUUAAAAAAAGUAGCGUCUAGAUGGUUGCUUACAAAUUAGGUAUGGAAAAUGACUUCCAAUUAUGUUUAAAGUUAAAAAGAUUCUUUCAUUGGGCUCCAGUAAAUAAACCAUUUUGGUAAAGUGGAACCACAACAAUGUAUAUAGCGGCUAACAUGAUUCAUAGGUGCUCUCAUGUGAAGACAAACACCAUAUUGAAAUGUAAAGUUAAAACAAUUAUGAAGACAUGUUCCGCAUGCACAAGCAAUUAUGUUUGCUAAUUGGUAUAAAGUCACUUCACUAAACUGUUAAUGAUCCAGAAAAUAGCAUCCACGUACAUUGAAUCUAAAUGAUGUCCUUGGAUUCGCUAAUGAUUUUCUAUUAUAAAUUAUUUCUGUUUAUUCGAGUUGAAAUUGCAGUACUUCGUUAGAGGUGGGAAUGAAGAAAGUGUAUUUUUCAAAUAACAGUGUUUAAAAAGUAGGUCAAAUAAUGAGCUCCAAUCCAGUUACACAAAAGAUGCAAUAUCUAUAUAGAACCUAACUUAUAAUGACCAUACCCUACAAAACUAAUAUUUCCCCAAACGAAGUCCACAUCACAGCAAGGCAAUGAGCAAAGUUUCCUAUGGGGUAUUUGGGCACAAGGAAAAAAAAAAAGAUUAUUCCAUCAUAGAAAUUAUAAAUUCAAGAAAAAAAGCCAAUCUCAUUUCAAACGUAUGAAAGCAAAACACACAUUUUCCUAUGGGCAUGCAAAUGUAUGAAAGCAAAACCAAAUUCAGUACUUUCAAUGUCCUUUAGAUUAAGUUGACACUGACAAUGCAUAAUGUAUUCUAAAUUGCUAAGAUUGUACUUGUAGCAAAGAGAUGUUCCAUCAAUUGUAUAGUCUGAUCAACCUACACAUCUUUUAGCAAUAUUAAUUUGGAAAAUGGUGACCAAGGGAUGUACUACUAACCUCUGGGGCUAGCCAUCGGUAACCAUCUGUUUCAUACUCCAUCGCCUCACCCAUACUCUUGCAAGCAGUGACUAUUCCCAUAUCCCCUAAGCAUGCAUUCCCAUGCCUGUCCAAUAGAAUCCUCUGUGUAUUAAGGUCUCUAUAUGCAACACCAUGAUCAUUCAUGAAUUUAAUCCCUUCAGCUGCAUCUGCAGCAAUCUUUAUAAUCUCUUUAGUCUGAAGCUUCUUGUUCUUUAGCAUCAAGUCAUUAACAGAGCCACCUUCCAUCAAUUUGGUUACAACACAUAAGCCAUGAUUUUCAUCAACACAAACACCAUAAAAUUGAAGGAUAUUUUUAUGUCCGCAAGUCAUUAACUCCAAAAGGUCUUUGCGGAGUUCAAAGUCAUAAGAAUUCCCGUUGUCACAUCCUUUCAGCUUCUCAAUUCCAACCCUUUUGCCCUUGUAAACUCCCUUAAAAGAAUUUGGUCCAAUCUGAUCAAUAAACUCAAGAUUGUCAGAGUUCAAAAGCCAUUUCCCAAUCUCAUCUGCACCUGACUGAAUUGUUUGCCAUUCAUCAACUGAUAUAACAAAUGAUGAAGUUGGUAAGGGCAUCUCAAGCUGAAUCUUCACACUCAAAUUCUCAGUGCCAUUCCUGUAAUUCUGUUCACUAGGAUCCUCUUCAAUUUCACCAAAAUCUCUCCCUCUAGUAUUCUCUUCCUGGCACCCACAAAGCCCAAAUGGAAGCUUCACUGCAGUUGGUUUGGGCUUCUUCAUAGCCGAUUUUAAAGCACUUUCAACCCAGGUUUUGAUCGGUUUCUCUUGGCCAGCUUGAACUAAAAGAAGAACCACCCCAAGAGUAAACCCCUUCUUUUCGAAGAUCUGAAUCUUCUUGCAGCAAAUAGAAGCGCUAUCUAAUGCAAUAGACAUUGCAGGCCAUGAAAUCGAAGAGUUACAGACAAAUGUAAGCUUGAAUACAGAAUCCUGUAUCUCAUCAUCAGAUGCUUCCUGUAUAACUAUUGCUGGUUGCUCAUCCACCGAAACCUGCUCUAUCAACUUUAUGUGUAGAAACACGUCUUUCAUAUCAAACCCUGCUUGUGCAUAGCUGUCGAAUGACCAGGAGAAAAAAGACUACACAUUAAACACAAAAGCUCUGCUAACAAUUUAGAAAUCACUGGUUAGUACAGUAAUAUGGAGUGCAUUCUAAUAUAUGUCUCCUUUUCUUAAUAGAUUAGAACAAAAAGAAAGAAUGGUAUUCUUGCAUUAGCUUUGCAACAGAGACAUAACACUAAAAAUCUCAAAUUCAUUUAUUUUUCCUGCAUUUCGCGGCAAACAAACAUAAAUUUAGAUAAAGGAUGAAAUAUUCCAAUAAGCCGUAAGUACCAAACCUGAGAGGCAAAGAAUCAUAAUGCUUCCUAAUGUUGGAUACUAGCUUCUCCGGCAACUGGCUACCUGGGUACAGCUGCGUGAGGUUUCUUACAACACUAGCCCACACGACCUUCUUGCUACCAUCAAUCUUAUUGCCAUUAUCACUCAAUUGUCGCGGUGCUUGCUGCUGCUGAAGCUGCAGAACCUGCAUUUGCGGGUGACGCGCCGAGUCAAGAUUCAGUGAGUUCUUAAGCGAAGCAAUCGCCUCCAACACGUUUCUACUCAGUCUCUGAAACCGCUUCUGCAUCGCGGAGGAUGAUGUGUCUUUGAUUGGAAGAUUUGAAGACAAGGAGGAGGAACUUUCAGGUUGUAAGGUUGUUUCUGAUCUAUCUUGGGUUCGCAUCAGGACUUGCUCCACCAUGUCCUCAUCGGUGCUGGCUCUGCUCGACCAGCACUCUAAGGCCGCAGCCAUGGUUCGGUGGAGGAUCUGGGAACGUGGGUUCGGGCUAAGGAGUGAGGAGUUAAGCACCAGUGAGGUUAAAGCUUAACUAAAAAAGCAAAUGGUCUCUGCUUCAGAUUUCUGGUUUUGGCCAUUUUUAUUUUUCUCUCCUGUCAGGGGAAAACGCAGAGAUGCGGGGGAGUUUGUUUAGGAAGGUAAAGUGUAA
RNAcentral lists this unclassified non-coding RNA (3043 nucleotides) under Hevea brasiliensis (rubber tree). The record is from RNAcentral. Lineage: Eukaryota; Viridiplantae; Streptophyta; Magnoliopsida; Malpighiales; Euphorbiaceae.